AUGCACGCUGGCGGCGUGCCUAAUACAUGCAAGUCGCGCGAACAGACGAGGAGCUUGCCCCUCUGACGUUAGCGGCGGACGGGUGAGUAACACGUGGAUAACCUACCUAUAAGACUGGGAUAACUUCGGGAAACCGGAGCUAAUACCGGAUAAUAUAUUGAACCGCAUGGUUCAAUAGUGAAAGACGGUUUUGCUGUCACUUAUAGAUGGAUCCGCGCCGCAUUAGCUAGUUGGUAAGGUAACGGCUUACCAAGGCAACGAUGCGUAGCCGACCUGAGAGGGUGAUCGGCCACACUGGAACUGAGACACGGUCCAGACUCCUACGGGAGGCAGCAGUAGGGAAUCUUCCGCAAUGGGCGAAAGCUUGACGGAGCAACGCCGCGUGAGUGAUGAAGGUCUUCGGAUCGUAAAACUCUGUUAUUAGGGAAGAACAAAUGUGUAAGUAACUAUGCACGUCUUGACGGUACCUAAUCAGAAAGCCACGGCUAACUACGUG
Molecule: ribosomal RNA, 496 nt
Filed under: uncultured bacterium
Lineage: Bacteria
Description: partial 16S ribosomal RNA
Rfam family: Bacterial small subunit ribosomal RNA
Source: RNAcentral